RNAcentral lists this ribosomal RNA (237 nucleotides) under uncultured bacterium. RNAcentral describes it as "partial 16S ribosomal RNA". It matches the Rfam family "Bacterial small subunit ribosomal RNA", at positions 501 to 734 of the family's 1533-position model. The record is from RNAcentral.
CUUUGCCAACACCCGCGGGUAAUACGUARGGGGCUAGCGUUGUCCGGAAUUAUUGGGCGUAAAGCGCGCGCAGGCGGCUUCUUAAGUBUGAUGUGAAAUCUCGGGGCUYAACCCCGAACGGCCAUUGRAAACUGGGGAGCUUGAGUGCAGAAGAGGAGAGUGGAAUUCCACGUGUAGMGGWGAAAUGCKUAAAAUAUGUGGAGGAACACCAUGUGGCAAAAGGCGACUUCUCUGGUC